RNAcentral lists this ribosomal RNA (440 nucleotides) under uncultured bacterium. Its description in RNAcentral is "bacterial SSU rRNA". It matches the Rfam family "Bacterial small subunit ribosomal RNA", at positions 338 to 769 of the family's 1533-position model. The record is from RNAcentral.
CCUACGGGAGGCAGCAGUGGGGAAUUUUCCGCAAUGGGCGAAAGCCUGACGGAGUGACGCCGCGUGUGGGAUGAAGGCCUUCGGGUCGUAAACCACUGUCAGUGGGAAAGAAGGGCAUCGGCGCGAUAACCGCCGGUGUCUGACGGUACCUGCAGAGGAAGCCCCGGCCAACUCUGUGCCAGCAGCCGCGGUAAGACAGAGGGGGCAAGCGUUGCUCGGAAUUACUGGGCGUAAAGGGCGCGUAGGCGGGAUGGCAAGUCGGUCGUGAAAUCCUUCGGCCCAACCGAAGAACGUCGAUCGAUACUGCUGUUCUAGAGGAUUGCAGAGGAGACUGGAAUUCCCGGUGUAGCGGUGAAAUGUGUAGAGAUCGGGAGGAACACCGGUGGCGAAGGCGGGUCUCUGGGCAAUUCCUGACGCUGAGGCGCGAAAGCGUGGGGAGC